AUUGAACGCUGGCGGCAGGCCUAACACAUGCAAGUCGAGCGAGCGGCGGACGGGUGAGUAAUGUAUGGGGACUGCCCGAUAGAGGGGGAUAACUACUGGAAACGGUGGCUAAUACCGCAUACUAUCGGAUAACCCAUAUGGGAUUAGCUAGGAGGGGGGGUAAAGGCUCACCUAGGAGACGAUCUCUAGCUGGUCUGAUAGGUGGAUCAGACACACUGGGAUGGAGACACGGCCCAGACUCCUACGGAGGGUGAGGUGGGGAAUAUUGCACAAUGGGCGCAAGCCUGAUGCAGCCAUGCCUCGUGUAUGAAGAAGGCCUUAGGGUUGUAAAGUCCUUUCAGCGGGGAGGCGUUACCCGCAGAAUAAGCACCGGCGAACGCCGUGCCAGCAGCCGCGGUAAUUC
This 403-nucleotide ribosomal RNA is filed under the name uncultured bacterium. Its description in RNAcentral is "partial 16S ribosomal RNA". It matches the Rfam family "Bacterial small subunit ribosomal RNA", at positions 30 to 526 of the family's 1533-position model. The record is from RNAcentral.